This 253-nucleotide ribosomal RNA is filed under the name uncultured bacterium. RNAcentral describes it as "partial 16S ribosomal RNA". It matches the Rfam family "Bacterial small subunit ribosomal RNA", at positions 524 to 776 of the family's 1533-position model. The record is from RNAcentral.
UACGAAGGGGGCUAGCGUUGUUCGGAAUUACUGGGCGUAAAGCGCACGUAGGCGGAUUGUUAAGUUAGGGGUGAAAUCCCAGGGCUCAACCCUGGAACUGCCUUUAAUACUGGCAAUCUCGAGUCCGAGAGAGGUGAGUGGAAUUCCGAGUGUAGAGGUGAAAUUCGUAGAUAUUGGGAAGAACACCGGUGGCGAAGGCGGCUCACUGGCUCAUUACUGACGCUCAGGCGCGACAGCGUGGGGAUCAAACAGG